Long non-coding RNA from Molossus molossus (Pallas's mastiff bat), 204 nucleotides. RefSeq lists it as uncharacterized. The record is from RefSeq and is a predicted model, not a curated record. Lineage: Eukaryota; Metazoa; Chordata; Mammalia; Chiroptera; Molossidae. The transcript has 3 exons.
AACAAGAAAAAAAAGCCAUUUACAGGGGUGAUGUGCAACUAAUUAAAGGCAGACUGGCAGCGUCUGCAAAUUCUAAGGCUCCCCAAAUAAAAAGACUGUUGUAACAGUUGGAGGAUAAUGCAAAGGAAGACGCUGCCUGGGAAUUCACCGUCUGUGGAAAUGCGCCCCAGAGAGGAAUAAAGCAGUCCUCACCUUGCUCUCCCU